AGUGAACGCUGGCGGUAGGCCUAACACAUGCAAGUCGAACGGCAGCACAGUAAGAGCUUGCUCUUACGGGUGGCGAGUGGCGGACGGGUGAGGAAUACAUCGUAAUCUACUUUUUCGUGGGGGAUAACGUAGGGAAACUUACGCUAAUACCGCAUACGACCUACGGGUGAAAGCAGUGGAUCUUCGGACCUUGCGCGAUUGAAUGAGCCGAUGUCGGAUUAGCUGGUUGGCGGGGUAAAGGCCCACCAAGGCGACGAUCCGUAGCUGGUCUGAGAGGAUGAUCAGCCACACUGGAACUGAGACACGGUCCAGACUCCUACGGGAGGCAGCAGUGGGGAAUAUUGGACAAUGGGCGCAAGCCUGAUCCAGCCAUACCGCGUGGGUGAAGAAGGCCUUCGGGUUGUAAAGCCCUUUUGUUGGGAAAGAAAAGCAGCAGGUUAAUACCCCGCUGUUCUGACGGUACCCAAAGAAUAAGCACCGGCUAACUUCGUG
RNAcentral lists this ribosomal RNA (492 nucleotides) under uncultured bacterium. RNAcentral's name for it is "partial 16S ribosomal RNA". It matches the Rfam family "Bacterial small subunit ribosomal RNA", at positions 29 to 507 of the family's 1533-position model. The record is from RNAcentral.